Daucus carota subsp. sativus is the source of this 707-nucleotide long non-coding RNA. RefSeq lists it as uncharacterized. NCBI's taxonomy places the organism in Eukaryota, Viridiplantae, Streptophyta, Magnoliopsida, Apiales, Apiaceae. The record is from RefSeq and is a predicted model, not a curated record. The transcript has 2 exons.
ACAGCCCCAUUUUUUAAACACAUAGCUUUACUAACUCUCAAACUCAUUUAUCUAACUCACACACCUCUCUCUCUCUCAGCACCUCUCGCAGCUCGGUCUCAACACCUUUGUGUCUCUCUUUUCACCUCUGUCUCUCCGGACACCACCGUCUUUCUCCAUUUUCUCGUCCCUUUCAAUUUAAUUACAAAAUAAGGCUUAAUUGAUUGGUAGAUUUAAAAUUAGACUCGAAUAUUGGAGGGGUCGAGGCUUGGGUUCUUCAAAUUAGGGCUCCAUUCUCACACUUUAUCUUUGAUUUUAAUGUUUUUUUCUUAGAGGUUUCUAUUUGAAAUUAUCUUUUAAUUAAACUCUCUUUUUGUUUACAGGGCUUCUUCAAUUCGGCGUUGCAUCUCAAGGAUUUCAUUGCAGGGUUUUAUAUACAUAUCUUCCGUAACUGAAGUGAUGAUGAUACAUCUUCAACAUGGUCAGGCCUCUGCAACAUGUAUAAAGAAGCAAACAGAGCAUAACAUAUGUUUUUUAGUAGAUUACCAUAUUUGCUAAUUGUGUGGUUAUUUGAAGAAUUGUAUAGUUAUUGUUAUGGAUUGGAUGUUAGUUUUAGUAGUUGGUAAAUCGGAUGUAUAAUUAGUUGGAUGUUAGAUGUUUUAGUAGUUGGAUGUUGGAUGUUUGGUGUAUGGAUUUUAAGUAUUUAUUAGAAUGGUUUAUUUUGGAAA